RNAcentral lists this unclassified non-coding RNA (332 nucleotides) under soil metagenome. Its description in RNAcentral is "partial contains 5.8S ribosomal RNA, internal transcribed spacer 2, and large subunit ribosomal RNA". The stretch from base 1 to 120 matches the Rfam family "5.8S ribosomal RNA", at positions 35 to 154 of the family's 154-position model. The record is from RNAcentral.
GAUGAAGAACGCAGCGAAAUGCGAUAAGUAGUGUGAAUUGCAGAAUUCAGUGAAUCAUCGAAUCUUUGAACGCACAUUGCGCCCCUUGGUAUUCCAUGGGGCAUGCUUGUUCGAGCGUCAUUUCAACCAUCAAGCCCUGUUUAGGCUUGUGUUGGGGCCCUGCGGUUGCCGCAGCCCCCUAAAUGCAGUGGCGGGCUCGUUGUCACUCCGAGCGCAGUAGCGUAUCUCGCUCUGGGCGUGGCGGCGGGUGCUAGCCGUGAAACACCCACUAAGGUUGACCUCGGAUCAGGUAGGAAUACCCGCUGAACUUAAGCAUAUCAAUAAGCGGAGGA